RNAcentral lists this ribosomal RNA (789 nucleotides) under uncultured bacterium. Its description in RNAcentral is "bacterial SSU rRNA". It matches the Rfam family "Bacterial small subunit ribosomal RNA", at positions 637 to 1427 of the family's 1533-position model. The record is from RNAcentral.
CNAGCUAGAGUGUGUCAGAGGGGGGUAGAAUUCCACGUGUAGCAGUGAAAUGCGUAGAGAUGUGGAGGAAUACCGAUGGCGAAGGCAGCCCCCUGGGAUAACACUGACGUUCAUGCUCGAAAGCGUGGGUAGCAAACAGGAUUAGAUACCCUGGUAGUCCACGCCCUAAACGAUGUCAAUUAGCUGUUGGGCAACUUGAUUGCUUAGUAGCGUAGCUAACGCGUGAAAUUGACCGCCUGGGGAGUACGGUCGCAAGAUUAAAACUCAAAGGAAUUGACGGGGACCCGCACAAGCGGUGGAUGAUGUGGAUUAAUUCGAUGCAACGCGAAGAACCUUACCUGGUCUUGACAUGUACGGAAUCUCUCAGAGACGGGAGAGUGCCUUCGGGAGCCGUAACACAGGUGCUGCAUGGCUGUCGUCAGCUCGUGUCGUGAGAUGUUGGGUUAAGUCCCGCAACGAGCGCAACCCUUGUCAUUAGUUGCCAUCAUUAAGUUGGGCACUCUAAUGAGACUGCCGGUGACAAACCGGAGGAAGGUGGGGAUGACGUCAAGUCCUCAUGGCCCUUAUGACCAGGGCUUCACACGUCAUACAAUGGUCGGUACAGAGGGUCGCCAAGCCGCGAGGUGGAGCCAAUCUCACAAAACCGAUCGUAGUCCGGAUUGCACUCUGCAACUCGAGUGCAUGAAGUCGGAAUCGCUAGUAAUCGCAGGUCAGCAUACUGCGGUGAAUACGUUCCCGGGUCUUGUACACACCGCCCGUCACACCAUGGGAGUGGGGGAUACCAGAANU